AGUCGCCGCGGGAAUACAGAGGAUGCAAGCGUUAUUCGGAAUGAUUGGGCGUAAAGCGUCUGUAGGUGGCUUUUCAAGUCCACCGUCAAAUCCCCGGGCUCAACCCUGGACAAGCAGUGGAAACUACCAAGCUGGAGUACGGUAGGGGUAGAGGGAAUUUCCGGUGGAGCGGUGAAAUGCGUUGAGAUCGGAAAGAACACCAACGACGAAAGCACUCUGCUGGGCCGACACUGAUACUGAGAGACGAAAGCUAGGGGAGCAAAUGGGAUUAGAUACCCCCGUAGUCCCUGUCUCUUAUACA
Molecule: ribosomal RNA, 301 nt
Filed under: uncultured bacterium
Lineage: Bacteria
Description: partial 16S ribosomal RNA
Rfam family: Bacterial small subunit ribosomal RNA
Source: RNAcentral